Molecule: non-coding RNA, 167 nt
Submitted as: unclassified sequences
Source: Rfam
UGAAGUUUAAUUGAGAUAUUUGUUAGACUUUUCCUUAAUACCACAGCUAUCCACAGACACGGAUGUCUGUGGAAGUUUGAUAUGGGACAAGGAUGUCCCGUAUCAAACGGUAGCGUACAUACCCACUACCUAUACGAAAAGUCUUAGAAAUAUCCGAUUAAAGCUUC